Molecule: microRNA precursor, 140 nt
Filed under: Arabidopsis lyrata
Lineage: Eukaryota; Viridiplantae; Streptophyta; Magnoliopsida; Brassicales; Brassicaceae
Description: miR4247 stem-loop (aly-MIR4247)
Source: miRBase by way of RNAcentral
AAAUUAUAAUUCCUUGAAUAUGUAUCCUAAUAUUAGACCCCCAUUUAGUUUUAUUUAUGAACAUGGAAUUUGCAAGGAAACAAUAUAAUACUUAAUGGGGGUCUAUUAUUAGGAUACAUUUUCAUGGAACAAUAAUUUUG